CCCGGGAUCCUGAAGAAGGACGAGCGCAUUAGAGCGUGCAUCAGGCUGCGGCAGACAGAGGUUCUGAAGAGGGACUUCGCCAGCCUGAUCGAAACGGUACGAGGCAGAUCACCCACCAUAUAGAUCAUUGUCUCUGGACCUCUUCCCUCAUACAGACGUGGAGCUGAAAAGUUCAGUAGACUUCUUGCUUUGAAUGACUGCAUCCUAGGUUGUUUCGUCCUGAUGGCCUGCACCCCAGCAGCCUCGGAGCGGAACUGCUGUCAGACAACAUCUCGAAGGUGCUACACACCAAGUGACUGCCUACCCGUGCUUACUUGAAGACAGUGAGGGGAGCAGCAUUGGAGAGACAGUUCGCUCCAUUCUCCAAAGAAUUGGGGAGAACAGCCUGUGAUGAAUGUUUUCGUUGAAAGGGUCAAAAGAUAUUGCCGAACGAGCCCAUGGACGUGAAUAUACUGUUGCCAGUUGCAGAGAGGCCAUCGGCAGCUUACCUAAAAAAUGCCCCAGCCAGGAAAG
Ictalurus punctatus (channel catfish) is the source of this 513-nucleotide long non-coding RNA. Lineage: Eukaryota; Metazoa; Chordata; Actinopteri; Siluriformes; Ictaluridae. The record is from Ensembl.